Molecule: transfer RNA, 76 nt
Filed under: Archangium gephyra
Lineage: Bacteria; Pseudomonadati; Myxococcota; Myxococcia; Myxococcales; Archangiaceae
Also listed under: 10 other names
Description: tRNA-Thr
Rfam family: tRNA
About the family: Transfer RNA (tRNA) molecules are approximately 80 nucleotides in length.
Source: RNAcentral
GCCCCGAUAGCUCAGUUGGCAGAGCGCAUCCUUGGUAAGGAUGAGGUCACCAGUUCAAUCCUGGUUCGGGGCUCCA